UUCGUAGGCUGCGCAGAAAGUAGGGUGUGAAAGCCCUCGGCUCAACCGAGGAAUUGCGCUCUAAACUACUGCGCUUGAGGAACCUAGAGGUGAGCAGAACUGAUGGUGGAGCGGUGAAAUGCGUUGAUAUCAUCAGGAAUACCGGAGGCGAAGGCGGCUCACUGGGGGUUUUCUGACGCUGAGGAACGAAAGCCAGGGGAGCGAACG
This 207-nucleotide ribosomal RNA is filed under the name uncultured bacterium. RNAcentral describes it as "partial 16S ribosomal RNA". It matches the Rfam family "Bacterial small subunit ribosomal RNA", at positions 568 to 774 of the family's 1533-position model. The record is from RNAcentral.